UGGAUCAGUGAUGACCACUGGUGGCGUAUGAGUCACGGACGAUGACUACCACAUGUCUGGAACUCUGAGGUCCAA
Small nucleolar RNA from Equus asinus (donkey), 75 nucleotides. Ensembl annotates it as small nucleolar RNA, C/D box 114-31. Lineage: Eukaryota; Metazoa; Chordata; Mammalia; Perissodactyla; Equidae. The record is from Ensembl.